AGACCCGAAACCCGGUGAUCUAGCCAUGGGCAGGUUGAAGGUUGGGUAACACUAACUGGAGGACCGAACCGACUAAUGUUGAAAAAUUAGCGGAUGACUUGUGGCUGGGGGUGAAAGGCCAAUCAAACCGGGAGAUAGCUGGUUCUCCCCGAAAGCUAUUUAGGUAGCGCCUCGUGAAUUCAUCUCCGGGGGUAGAGCACUGUUUCGGCAAGGGGGUCAUCCCGACUUACCAACCCGAUGCAAACUGCGAAUACCGGAGAAUGUUAUCACGGGAGACACACGGCGGGUGCUAACGUCCGUCGUGAAGAGGGAAACAACCCAGACCGCCAGCUAAGGUCCCAAAGUCAUGGUUAAGUGGGAAACGAUGUGGGAAGGCCCAGACAGCCAGGAUGUUGGCUUAGAAGCAGCCAUCAUUUAAAGAAAGCGUAAUAGCUCACUGGUCGAGUCGGCCUGCGCGGAAGAUGUAACGGGGCUAAACAAUGCACCGAAGCUGCGGCAGCGACACUGUGUGUUGUUGGGUAGGGGAGCGUUCUGUAAGCCUGUGAAGGUGUACUGUAAGGUAUGCUGGAGGUAUCAGAAGUGCGAAUGCUGACAUAAGUAACGAUAAAGCGGGUGAAAAGCCCGCUCGCCGGAAGACCAAGGGUUCCUGUCCAACGUUAAUCGGGGCAGGGUGAGUCGACCCCUAAGGCGAGGCCGAAAGGCGUAGUCGAUGGGAAACAGGUUAAUAUUCCUGUACUUGGUGUUACUGCGAAGGGGGGACGGAGAAGGCUAUGUUGGCCGGGCGACGGUUGUCCCGGUUUAAGCGUGUAGGCUGGUUUUCCAGGCAAAUCCGGAAAAUCAAGGCUGAGGCGUGAUGACGAGGCACUACGGUGCUGAAGCAACAAAUGCCCUGCUUCCAGGAAAAGCCUCUAAGCAUCAGGUAACAUCAAAUCGUACCCCAAACCGACACAGGUGGUCAGGUAGAGAAUACCAAGGCGCUUGAGAGAACUCGGGUGAAGGAACUAGGCAAAAUGGUGCCGUAACUUCGGGAGAAGGCACGCUGAUAUGUAGGUGAAGUCCCUCGCGGAUGGAGCUGAAAUCAGUCGAAGAUACCAGCUGGCUGCAACUGUUUAUUAAAAACACAGCACUGUGCAAACACGAAAGUGGACGUAUACGGUGUGACGCCUGCCCGGUGCCGGAAGGUUAAUUGAUGGGGUCAGCGCAAGCGAAGCUCUUGAUCGAAGCCCCGGUAAACGGCGGCCGUAACUAUAACGGUCCUAAGGUAGCGAAAUUCCUUGUCGGGUAAGUUCCGACCUGCACGAAUGGCGUAAUGAUGGCCAGGCUGUCUCCACCCGAGACUCAGUGAAAUUGAACUCGCUGUGAAGAUGCAGUGUACCCGCGGCAAGACGGAAAGACCCCGUGAACCUUUACUAUAGCUUGACACUGAACAUUGAGCCUUGAUGUGUAGGAUAGGUGGGAGGCUUUGAAGUGUGGACGCCAGUCUGCAUGGAGCCGACCUUGAAAUACCACCCUUUAAUGUUUGAUGUUCUAACGUGGACCCGUGAUCCGGGUUGCGGACAGUGUCUGGUGGGUAGUUUGACUGGGGCGGUCUCCUCCUAAAGAGUAACGGAGGAGCACGAAGGUUGGCUAAUCCUGGUCGGACAUCAGGAGGUUAGUGCAAUGGCAUAAGCCAGCUUGACUGCGAGCGUGACGGCGCGAGCAGGUGCGAAAGCAGGUCAUAGUGAUCCGGUGGUUCUGAAUGGAAGGGCCAUCGCUCAACGGAUAAAAGGUACUCCGGGGAUAACAGGCUGAUACCGCCCAAGAGUUCAUAUCGACGGCGGUGUUUGGCACCUCGAUGUCGGCUCAUCACAUCCUGGGGCUGAAGUAGGUCCCAAGGGUAUGGCUGUUCGCCAUUUAAAGUGGUACGCGAGCUGGGUUUAGAACGUCGUGAGACAGUUCGGUCCCUAUCUGCCGUGGGCGCUGGAGAACUGAGGGGGGCUGCUCCUAGUACGAGAGGACCGGAGUGGACGCAUCACUGGUGUUCGGGUUGUCAUGCCAAUGGCACUGCCCGGUAGCUAAAUGCGGAAGAGAUAAGUGCUGAAAGCAUCUAAGCACGAAACUUGCCCCGAGAUGAGUUCUCCCUGACCCUUUAAGGGUCCUGAAGGAACGUUGAAGACGACGACGUUGAUAGGCCGGGUGUGUAAGCGCAGCGAUGCGUUGAGCUAACCGGUACUAAUGAACCGUGAGGCUUAACCUU
RNAcentral lists this ribosomal RNA (2236 nucleotides) under Escherichia coli. RNAcentral's name for it is "partial 23S ribosomal RNA". It matches the Rfam family "Bacterial large subunit ribosomal RNA", at positions 711 to 2925 of the family's 2925-position model. The record is from RNAcentral. Lineage: Bacteria; Pseudomonadati; Pseudomonadota; Gammaproteobacteria; Enterobacterales; Enterobacteriaceae.